Long non-coding RNA from Struthio camelus australis, 1955 nucleotides. The record is from Ensembl. Lineage: Eukaryota; Metazoa; Chordata; Aves; Struthioniformes; Struthionidae.
CCCCCCGCCGGGCCUCAUGGGGAGAAGAUGGGAGGAGAGAGCUCAGCCUAAAGCCGAUGAGCUGAGCCGAGCCGAAGGGGACCGCUCCAUCCUUCCUGCCACACCGGCAAAAAUAAUGUAACCGGAGGAGCCGCCAAGCUGAGCCGCCCGCCAGCGCGCGCAGCCUGCAGCCCGCGCCGGCUCCUGCGCCUCGUCCUCUUCCCCCCACUUUGCCUCCUGCAAGAUUAAGCCUUUAAUGUGCAAUCUCGACUCCCGGCAACUCUUGUCAAUAAAUGAGCCGUGGCAUGGUGCCAGCGCGUCGCGUAGGACCCGAGGUGCUGCAACCCAAAGUAGGUCAGUAAGUUGUUUCUCCCCAGCCUGGUUGUCGUUGCGCAUGAGCAUCGCGGCGACGGGGGCCGAGGCCAAGCAGAGGCAAGAGGCGAGAGCCCGACUCUGGAGGCCAGGGCUCGACGGGGAAGUCACAAUGCCAGGGGCAGAUGUGCCCCUCGGCUGGGCUCGGCUCUGUCCAUCUUCCCAAGCGAUGCCUCACGGGAUGCUGGGACACGGGGCUCUGCCGCAGCAUCCCCAGCCGGCUCCGACUCGCUCCUGGUGGCCCCGGCGGCUCUGGUCCUGCCUCGAGCUCCCCGUGCCAGCUGGGCUCUGGUGGGCUCGUUACAGAGCGGGGAGAAGGGAGGUUUAUAUAAUGCUCCUGGUGCCUGACUCAUUGUUGUGCCUGGCGUUAUAUAACCAGUGCCCAAUUCCCACUUUCCGCUGGCGGCGGCGCGCGUCGCUGCUCGGCCCAGCCGGCAUGCUCCGUCUACCUGCUGGGGUUCGCAGGGGGUUUUCCCAGCUGCACAAGUUGUGUUACCCAGCGAGGACGGUCACAUCGCGGACCGUGGAUGGAAAUCAAAGAUGUGAACCUCCCUCGUGCAGCGCGUUUGGGUCCUGCAGACCAGGAGUCCGGCGGGAGCCUUAACCGGGACGCGACUGGCAGCUGCGGUAGCGCACACGCUUUACCUCAGCCUUACCCGGGACGCGACUGGCAGAUGCGGUAGAGCACCGGCUUUCAUUCCUGCCUUUGCCACCAUCCCGCUCAGUAACCCUGGGUAAAUCACUCUGGAGCACGGGGCGAGGAAAGCUCCCUUGCACGUGUGACGUGUUAGUGGCUGCAGGCCCAGGCUGUGGCGAUGCCCCGCGGAGGACGCUGCCAAGGCGGGGACGUGCAGCUUGUUCCUCUGCCAUCCGUCCUGCGCUGGCCAUGUGGCGAGCUUAGCUGAUUCCUGCCUUUCCAGCCACUCCAGUUCCCCAGCUGUCAGCACAGGUGGCUCCAUGCUGUCCUGUGCUGAGCGCGCCUGCGGGGGAGUCGGCGAGGAGCAUGGUAAAAAGCCGGGCUGCCUCAGGCGAGGCACGGGAACAGCAUCCUGCCUGCUGCCGGAGGCAGGGGGUGCUGGCACCCCGGGUGUUUGGCCCAGAGGGGGCUUAGGCAAGGUCUUCCCUGUGCCCAGGCGUUUCACCGCAGAGCUUUAAUAGCCGCUUCGAUCCGGGCACUGUCUCACCAGCUGCUGGAGUGUGGGCCUGGGAGCAGCAGUCCUGGGUCCUGUUGACUCCUGACGGGAGCUCAUGCCGUGAGCGUGGGCUCUUUAGAGCAGUGGGUCCCCCCGGUUGUCCUCCCUUUCCCUUUCUGGCCUGUUGGAUAUUUCCCUUCCCGCAGACGGGUCUCCCGGGAGAGGCCAGGUUUGGCUUGGGCACCUGCAAAGUGCCCUGGGACAAAAGGCGACCGGCCCCGGCAGGGGAGGUGGCAGCCUCCUGUGGCUUUCUGGCUGUGCCCGUUCAGCGUUAUGACUUCGGAGCAAACCCCCGUCCUCGGGCAUUAACGGGAGCAGCCCAAGCUGGCACCGGGCUGGGCUCAAAAGCACGGUGGGAGCAGCGACCUGUCUCCAUCCCGUCGCAGAGGCAGGCAGGGCUCCUCCAGCCUG